This 246-nucleotide ribosomal RNA is filed under the name uncultured bacterium. RNAcentral's name for it is "partial 16S ribosomal RNA". It matches the Rfam family "Bacterial small subunit ribosomal RNA", at positions 421 to 659 of the family's 1533-position model. The record is from RNAcentral.
GGUUGUAAAGCUCUUUCGGCGGGGAAGAAAUUGCUUGGGUUAAUACCCUGAGUAGAUGACGGUACCCGAAUAAGAAGCACCGGCUAACUACGUGCCAGCAGCCGCGGUAAUACGUAGGGUGCGAGCGUUAAUCGGAAUUACUGGGCGUAAAGCGUGCGCAGGCGGUUUUGUAAGUCAGAUGUGAAAUCCCCGGGCUCAACCUGGGAACUGCAUUUGAGACUGCAAGACUGGAGUUUGGCAGAGGGA